RNAcentral lists this long non-coding RNA (1004 nucleotides) under Lathyrus oleraceus (garden pea). Its description in RNAcentral is "Pisum sativum (pea) long non-coding RNA (PSAT_LNC014330)". Lineage: Eukaryota; Viridiplantae; Streptophyta; Magnoliopsida; Fabales; Fabaceae. The record is from RNAcentral.
GAGUGAGCGAUGUGAGCGAGGGAAAGGCAUUGUGAGAGGUUUUUUUUUUGGUGAGAGAGAGUGAGACGAAGAGAGAGUAGUCGUUAGGGAGUGAGACGGAGAGAGGGCAUCGCGAGGGAGAGAAGAGCGAGCUUUGUGAGAGAGACAGAUCCGUUUUUGUUUUUUCCUUUCUUUAUUGUCUUUUUUUCCUUUUUUAUUAAUAGAGUAAGUAGUUCUUAAAAAAAAAGCAUUAUAAAAAAGAUUCCUUAGUUAAUUGAUGAAGGUUUUAGGUUCCCAAUUUAUUCCUCUUGGUAAACCCAACAGCCAUGCGGCUGGGUUUAAUUACCAGUAGGCCAAUAGUUUUUUUCUAUUUUAGUUUUUAUUUUAAUCCUUCUUUUUUUAAUUUAUUUUAGUUUAUAUAUUUAGGUUAGUGUUAAAAUAACAGUUAGUCGUUAAAUAGCUUAGUGGAGAGGGGGUAGUUCCAUAGUCUUAGGUGGAGUGAGUUCGAUACUCGUAGAUAGUUUUUUUAGUAUUUCUUUUUUUGUAUUUCAUUUCUUUUUAUCAUUCCAUUUUUUAUUUCUUUUUAGUAUUUUAUUAUCUUUUAGCAUUUUGUUUAUUUUAAUAGUUUUUUUAUGUCCAUGCUUCUUUAUUAAUUUCAUCAUGCAUGCAAAACCAUUUUUAAACUAAUAAAAAUCAUAUUCUCUCGAUUUAAUAUCGAGCCCCCUUUUUUCACACCCUUGUAAGUCGAUUGCUUUUUAAGCAUCGCCAUCAACCUCACAUAGCUUACUCUUGGGCUUUCUUACAAUGAGCCGGUUCUCUUGCACUGACACUCAUGCAUUAUUUGUUGGUUCCGAUUUAAUUAUUUCGUGAUUUUUUAAUCCCCAUUUGACAAAUGUACCCCAUUCCCCCAAUGUGUAAUAAUUUUGUACUUUUUAUUUCUUUUAUUGUUUGGUUGUUUAAUUAGCUACUAACACAAGAAUAAAAUCAACAAAUUUCAAAAAUACAAAAAUAUGACUCGAUCCAAC